RNAcentral lists this ribosomal RNA (195 nucleotides) under uncultured bacterium. Its description in RNAcentral is "partial 16S ribosomal RNA". It matches the Rfam family "Bacterial small subunit ribosomal RNA", at positions 333 to 528 of the family's 1533-position model. The record is from RNAcentral.
AAAAUACGGGAGGCAGCAGUGAGGAAUAUUGGUCAAUGGACGCAAGUCUGAACCAGCCAAGUAGCGUGCAGGAUGACGGCCCUAUGGGUUGUAAACUGCUUUUAUGUGGGAAUAAAGUGGCGCACGUGUGCGCCAUUGUAUGUACCUCAUGAAUAAGGACCGGCUAAUUCCGUGCCAGCAGCCGCGGUAAUUUUU